UGCGUAGGUGGUGGUUUAAGUCUGCUGUGAAAGCCCUGGGCUCAACCUGGGAAUUGCAGUGGAUACUGGAUCACUAGAGUGUGGUAGAGGGAUGCGGAAUUUCUGGUGUAGCAGUGAAAUGCGUAGAGAUCAGAAGGAACAUCCGUGGCGAAGGCGGCAUCCUGGGCCAACACUGACACUGAGGCACGAAAGCGGUGGGGAGCAAACA
This 208-nucleotide ribosomal RNA is filed under the name uncultured bacterium. RNAcentral's name for it is "partial 16S ribosomal RNA". It matches the Rfam family "Bacterial small subunit ribosomal RNA", at positions 568 to 774 of the family's 1533-position model. The record is from RNAcentral.